GGAUCCAAAUAGAUGACUUCUGUAGGGAGGAUAGCAACAACCCACACAUGUUUUUUUGGAGCAUCAUUUUACAUCUCCAGAGUCAGACUGGAUACUUCCGCUGUGAUUUGAAUUUCACAAUCAACACUGAAAAAGCUAUACAGCAAAGAACUCUACGUUCCUAGUAAACACAAAAUAUACAUUAUUUUUCCUCCUCAUGAAAAAAAAAUGUACAGAAAAUAGCCUACUGUCCUGGGUAUAAGUCGAUUGCUUCAAAAAACAGUUCCUCACCCAAGCAACACAGAAUAAAGAGAGCCUAUGAAAUGGAUGAAGAGUUCGAUCUAGUCCAUGUGAUGAAACCUGCAAUGGCAAGAUUCAACUGCUGUGGUUCAUUCUCUGCUGUUUUCCUUCCCUGCAAAUUUUCCUUCUGAAAGGCACAGAAACAAGAUGCGUAUUCUGCAAUAACGGACAAAGAGGAGCUAGAGAAGGAAAGGGACAGAACAGAAAGUUUGACUUCAGCACCCAAAUCCUCAUAAGAAAAGUUAUGCUCUAACUAAAAGGAUAAGGAAAUACAGUUAGUGUCUGGAUAACUUACUUCACUUUUAAUGUUUCUGCAAAUUCCAACAUGAACAGGCCCAAUGUAAAUCAGCUUUCCUCACUAAGCUGACGGCUAAACUACAGCAGAUGCCAGAGGAUUUUUAAACUGCACAGGUCACAUUUAGAGGCUGAUGCAGUACAAUGCUGAUAUUGUCUACUAGCUUGAUUUCAGCAUUCCCUUUGAAGGUAGAAAAGCACUUUGCAAAAGACUGAGAGAAAACAGUUCUUCACUUGUGCCCUCAGAAUAUGUUUUUAAACUACCUUUUCAUUUCUAAUGUAAAGACAAAGAAAACUAGUCACUAGAGAAUCACUAUUAAAUAUAAUAUAACAUGCAUUUCUUGUUCUUUUUCCAACGUUUGCUUUAAAUGUGUCACUAAAUAUGUUAGCUUAAUUAGCUUAUACUGGCACCUAUUGGUGAAAAAUAAUAUUUGCAAGCGCCAUUAUUAAUUACUGCUAGCUCUUUAAUCACAAACAACAAUGCUCUUUGUAGUAAUUAUUGGCUUGCACACUUCCCACUUCAUUUCCAGUGUAUUUUCCACUGUUUUAAUUGUCUUACAAUAAUCUGGUGUUGAGAAUAAUGAGUAUGGGUUAAAACUGUUCUUAUUUAUGUAAGAGUUAGAUUUGUUUUCUUUUUAUCUUGAAAGUGUUCUAAAAAAAGUUUCUUAACUGAGGCUCAUACUAAGAAAACCUGCAAAGAAUAUUCAGUCACUGCGGUCAACCAGAAAUCAGAUGACAAAACAGUGUUUUUACAGGGAAGCAUAGAAUGUCUGAGUCUUAGCAAGCAAAUGAUUACCCACAGCCAGUAUUGAAAAGAUGAUUGAAAAUUAUCCUUGGAAUGGUAAUUAAUUGGAUACUAAAUUAUUCCCAAAUAGAACAGAUUUAGAAAUACAUUUUUCACUAUAUUUUUUCUUAUUGAUUAUGGAUUUCAUUAUUUAUUCGAAAAGGGGAACACUUUGAAUCCCAUUGUUUUUCUGUUUCACAUCAGCUGCUCCUUGCCAUGUCCAGAAAACAUUUCCUAAGAAAUCCAAAUUUCAGCUGUUUUAAAUGCCACUGCUCUGUAACUCAAAUAACUUAACCACAGGAUUCUUGUGCCAUUGUACCUGUUCUGGGACAGCUCAAGUACCUUCCAGUUGCUGCUUCAGAGAAACACCAGUGUCCUUGCAUACCUGCUAGACAUUUCCUGAAUGUUUAGAAUACCUAAAACUGGCUUUAGAUUUCAGUAUUUAAGCAAUUGCAUUUUACACUUAAUAUUCAGAACAGCUUCACAAACACACUUGCUUGCACUGUCAGCUUGUCAGCCACACAAAUAACUAGUAUGAAUAAACAAACUGAUGC
Molecule: long non-coding RNA, 1911 nt
Organism: Gallus gallus (chicken)
Lineage: Eukaryota; Metazoa; Chordata; Aves; Galliformes; Phasianidae
Source: Ensembl